UGCGUAGGCGGGUCUUUAAGUCAGGGGUGAAAUCCUGGAGCUCAACUCCAGAACUGCCUUUGAUACUGAAGAUCUUGAGUUCGGGAGAGGUGAGUGGAACUGCGAGUGUAGAGGUGAAAUUCGUAGAUAUUCGCAAGAACACCAGUGGCGAAGGCGGCUCACUGGCCCGAUACUGACGCUGAGGCACGAAAGCGUGGGGAGCAAACAGGAUUAGAUACCCUGGCAGUCCACGCCGUAAACGAUGAAUGCCAGCCGUUAGUGGGUUUACUCACUAGUGGCGCAGCUAACGCUUUAAGCAUUCCGCCUGGGGAGUACGGUCGCAAGAUUAAA
This 330-nucleotide ribosomal RNA is filed under the name uncultured bacterium. RNAcentral describes it as "bacterial SSU rRNA". It matches the Rfam family "Bacterial small subunit ribosomal RNA", at positions 568 to 898 of the family's 1533-position model. The record is from RNAcentral.